Molecule: ribosomal RNA, 470 nt
Filed under: uncultured bacterium
Lineage: Bacteria
Description: SSU rRNA
Rfam family: Bacterial small subunit ribosomal RNA
Source: RNAcentral
AGGAUGAACGCUGGCGGCGUGCCUAACACAUGCAAGUCGAACGUCCUGUCUCGCAAGAGGCAGGGAGUGGCGGACGGGUGAGUACCACGUGGGUCAUCUACCGUGAGGUGAGGAAUACCGGCGAGAAAUCGCCGACAAGACCGCAUAGGCUCGAUGCAAGUCGAGCAAAGCUCUUUCGAGAGAGGGAGCGCCACACGAGGAGCCUGCGCCCGAUUAGCUAGCUGGUGGAGUAACGGUUCACCAGGGCGACGAUCGGUAGCUGGUCUGAGAGGACGAUCAGCCACACUGGGAUUGAGAACGGCCCAGACUCCUACGGGGGCAGCAGUGAGGAAUUUCGUCAAUGGGGGCAACCCUGAACGAGCAACGCCGCGUGCAGGAAGAAGGUUUCGGAUCGUAAACUGCUUUUCUCGGGAAGAGAAUGGACGGUACCGAGGAAUCAGCCCGGCUAACUACGUGCCAGCAGCCGCGGU